AUCUUCUAUGUGUGGGGGUUUUCAUGUAACGUUUGGCCUUUUGUAGCAUACGUUUGACAUUUCUGCACUAUGCAUUGGUGGUUGUGCAUGUAGCGGCGCUUGCUGUACCCAGCUGGGUACCUCCGCGGGGGUCCGCUUCCUAACUGGAAUUGGGGAAAACCUCUUUGCUUUUGCCCCAGUCGCCGUGGCUUGACUGGGGUCCUCCUG
Non-coding RNA from Pelobates cultripes (western spadefoot toad), 207 nucleotides. Lineage: Eukaryota; Metazoa; Chordata; Amphibia; Anura; Pelobatidae. The record is from the annotation of a GenBank genome assembly.